GAGUUUGAUCCUGGCUCAGAGUGAACGCUGGCGGCGUGCCUAAUACAUGCAAGUCGAACGGAGAUUAAGUAGCUUGCUAUUUAAUCUUAGUGGCGCACGGGUGAGUAAUAUAUAGCUAAUCUGCCCUACACUAGAGGACAACAGUUGGAAACGACUGCUAAUACUCUAUACUCCUUCUUUACAUAAGUUAAGUCGGGAAAGUUUUUCGGUGUAGGAUGAGGCUAUAUCGUAUCAGCUAGUUGGUAGGGUAACGGCCUACCAAGGCUAUGACGCGUAACUGGUCUGAGAGGAUGAUCAGUCACACUGGAACUGAGACACGGUCCAGACUCCUACGGGAGGCAGCAGUAGGGAAUAUUGCUCAAUGGGGGAAACCCUGAAGCAGCAACGCCGCGUGGAGGAUGACACUUUUCGGAGCGUAAACUCCUUUUCUUGGGAAAGAAUUAUGACGGUACCCAAGGAAUAAGCACCGGCUAACUCCGUGCCAGCAGCCGCGGUAAUACGGAGGGUGCAAGCGUUACUCGGAAUCACUGGGCGUAAAGGACGCGUAGGCGGAUUAUCAAGUCUCUUGUGAAAUCUAACGGCUUAACCGUUAAACUGCUUGGGAAACUGAUAAUCUAGAGUAAGGGAGAGGCAGAUGGAAUUCUUGGUGUAGGGGUAAAAUCCGUAGAGAUCAAGAAGAAUACCCAUUGCGAAAGCGAUCUGCUGGAACUUAACUGACGCUAAUGCGUGAAAGCGUGGGGAGCAAACAGGAUUAGAUACCCUGGUAGUCCACGCCCUAAACGAUGUAUACUAGUUGUUGCUUCGCUAGUCGAGGCAGUAAUGCACCUAACGGAUUAAGUAUACCGCCUGGGGAGUACGGUCGCAAGAUUAAAACUCAAAGGAAUAGACGGGGACCCGCACAAGCGGUGGAGCAUGUGGUUUAAUUCGAAGAUACGCGAAGAACCUUACCCGGACUUGAUAUCUAACAAAUCAUCCAGAGAUGGAAGAGUGUCUGCUUGCAGAAAUGUUAAGACAGGUGCUGCACGGCUGUCGUCAGCUCGUGUCGUGAGAUGUUGGGUUAAGUCCCGCAACGAGCGCAACCCACGUCAUUAGUUGCUAACGGUUCGGCCGAGCACUCUAAUGAGACUGCCUUCGUAAGGAGGAGGAAGGUGUGGACGACGUCAAGUCAUCAUGGCCCUUAUGUCCGGGGCGACACACGUGCUACAAUGGCGUAUACAAUAAGACGCAAUAUCGCGAGAUGGAGCAAAUCUAUAAAAUACGUCCCAGUUCGGAUUGGAGUCUGCAACUCGACUCCAUGAAGCCGGAAUCGCUAGUAAUCGUAGAUCAGCCAUGCUACGGUGAAUACGUUCCCGGGUCUUGUACUCACCGCCCGUCACACCAUGGGAGUUGAUUUCACUCGAAGCCCAAAUACCAAACCGGUUAUGGUCCACAGUGGAAUCAGCGACUGGGGUGAAGUCGUAACAAGGUAACCGUAGGAGAACCUGC
This 1485-nucleotide ribosomal RNA is filed under the name Campylobacter rectus. Its description in RNAcentral is "bacterial SSU rRNA". It matches the Rfam family "Bacterial small subunit ribosomal RNA". Lineage: Bacteria; Pseudomonadati; Campylobacterota; Epsilonproteobacteria; Campylobacterales; Campylobacteraceae. The record is from RNAcentral.